GUGGGGAAUAUUGGACAAUGGGGGGAACCCUGAUCCAGCCAUGCCGCGUGUGUGAAGAAGGCCUUUUGGUUGUAAAGCACUUUAAGCGAGGAGGAGGCUACCGAGAUUAAUACUCUUGGAUAGUGGACGUUACUCGCAGAAUAAGCACCGGCUAACUCUGUGCCAGCAGCCGCGGUAAUAAAGAGGGUGCAAGCGUUAAUCGGAUUUACUGGGCGUAAAGCGCGCGUAGGUGGCCAAUUAAGUCAAAUGUGAAAUCCCCGAGCUUAACUUGGGAAUUGCAUUCGAUACUGGUUGGCUAGAGUAUGGGAGAGGAUGGUAGAAUUCCAGGUGUAGCGGUGAAAUGCGUAGAAAUCUGGAGGAAUACCGAUGGCGAAGGCAGCCAUCUGGCCUAAUACUGACACUGAGGUGCGAAAGCAUGGGGAGCAAACAGGAUUAGAAACCCUUGUAGUCC
This 451-nucleotide ribosomal RNA is filed under the name uncultured bacterium. Its description in RNAcentral is "partial 16S ribosomal RNA". It matches the Rfam family "Bacterial small subunit ribosomal RNA", at positions 354 to 796 of the family's 1533-position model. The record is from RNAcentral.